This 253-nucleotide ribosomal RNA is filed under the name uncultured bacterium. RNAcentral's name for it is "partial 16S ribosomal RNA". It matches the Rfam family "Bacterial small subunit ribosomal RNA", at positions 524 to 776 of the family's 1533-position model. The record is from RNAcentral.
UACGUAGGUGGCAAGCGUUGUCCGGAUUUACUGGGCGUAAAGAGCGCGCAGGCGGCCGAGUAAGUUUGAUGUGAAAGCCCACGGCUCAACCGUGGAGGGUCAUUGGAAACUGGGGAACUUGAGUGCAGAAGAGAAAAGCGGAAUUCCACGUGUAGCGGUGAAAUGCGUAGAGAUGUGGAGGAACACCAGUGGCGAAGGCGGCUUUUUGGUCUGUAACUGACGCUGAGGCGCGAAAGCGUGGGGAGCAAACAGG